UCUUUUCGAGCACCUUGACGCCAUGUUUUCUUAAGGCUGAAUUCAUUCUUGUGGGAGUUUGUGAUUUUCAACAUGCAUUAAUCAUCUUUAAACCGCACUAAGUAUGCGGUCCAUGCUACCGGCCAUGCAGUUUGCUUGAUCCACCUUGUGCUGUGGUGAUGAGGCCUGUCCUCAUCGUCCCUGAAGCAAUGAAGUGACCGCACACACGUAUCAGGAAAGCCGGCAGCCUUUUUUUUUUAUUUUUUGGCAUGAAUUACUAACCUUUUGUUUUACAACGUUACCCUAAGUGGAACAUUUUUGUGGACUUAAUCUCGUCGGACUUUUCGUCAACCAUGUUUUUCUAAUUUGUUUUAAUUAAAUUUUUUGGGGACCAACGAAACAACAUUUUAUCUAAUUUAUGAAUUUUGAAACAACGAAACAGCGUAACAACUUGGACUAAAAAUAUGUUGAUAUAUUUAUGAACAAAGAAAAAUGUAACAAUUAAUUAUAAAAUUAUUCAUGUAGUAUAAAUUAAUAUUUUUG
This is a long non-coding RNA of Bacillus rossius redtenbacheri, 522 nucleotides long. RefSeq lists it as uncharacterized. The record is from RefSeq and is a predicted model, not a curated record. The transcript has 2 exons. Lineage: Eukaryota; Metazoa; Arthropoda; Insecta; Phasmatodea; Bacillidae.